AUUGAUCGCUGGCGGCAGGCUUAACACCUGCUAGUCGAGCGAGCGGCGGACGGGUGAGUAAUGUCUGGGAAACUGCCUGAUGGAGGCGGAUAACUCCUGGAAACGGUAGCUAAUACCGCAUACCAUCAGAUGUGCCCAGAUGGGAUUAGCUAGUAGGUGGGGUAAUGGCUCACCUAGGCGACGAUCCCUACCUGGUCUGAGAGGAUGACCAGCGAAACUGGAACUGAGACACGGUCCAGACUCCGACGGGAGGCAGGAGUGGGGAAUAGUGGAAAAUGGGCGCAAGGAUGAUGCAGCCAUGCCGCGUGUGUGAAGAAGGCAUUCGGGUUGUAAAGCACUUUCAGCGAGGAGGCGGUACUCGCAGAAGAAGCACCGGCUAACUCCGUGCCAGCAGCCGCGGUAAUAC
This 406-nucleotide ribosomal RNA is filed under the name uncultured bacterium. RNAcentral's name for it is "partial 16S ribosomal RNA". It matches the Rfam family "Bacterial small subunit ribosomal RNA", at positions 30 to 526 of the family's 1533-position model. The record is from RNAcentral.